RNAcentral lists this ribosomal RNA (253 nucleotides) under uncultured bacterium. RNAcentral describes it as "partial 16S ribosomal RNA". It matches the Rfam family "Bacterial small subunit ribosomal RNA", at positions 524 to 776 of the family's 1533-position model. The record is from RNAcentral.
GACGGAUGGGGCUAGCGUUGUUCGGAAUUACUGGGCGUAAAGGGCGCGUAGGCGGCCAAUUAAGUUAGACGUGAAAGCCCUAGGCUUAACCUAGGAAUUGCGUUUAAUACUGGUUGGCUAGAGUUCGGUAGAGGAAAGCGGAAUUCCUAGUGUAGAGGUGAAAUUCGUAGAUAUUAGGAAGAACACCAGAGGCGAAGGCGGCUUUCUGGACCGAUACUGACGCUGAGGCGCGAAAGCGUGGGGAGCAAACAGG